Nelumbo nucifera (sacred lotus) is the source of this 1003-nucleotide long non-coding RNA. RefSeq lists it as uncharacterized. NCBI's taxonomy places the organism in Eukaryota, Viridiplantae, Streptophyta, Magnoliopsida, Proteales, Nelumbonaceae. The record is from RefSeq and is a predicted model, not a curated record.
CGAGUCUCACCCUAUCUGUCGAAGGGAAGAGAAGACAGGAGCGCCAUCCAGAUGGCUUGCCAUCGCCAUCUCCAUCAACGGCGAUCACUGCAAAUAAUGAACGGCGGAGGUUCGGGGGAAAUCCGACAGAGGUCGACGGAGGGAUAAUCGUUUGGUCAAGAGGUGAAUAAAGGGAGAAGGAAGGUUGAGGGGGAGGGAAGGAGGUCUUGUGCAAAGAGGUGAACAGAGGUAAACAAUAUAGUUAUUUUGUGAAGUAGGAAGAAAGGAGGAAGUGGACUUGUAGAUGUUCAACGAAAUGCCAAAGCGAUCCUAGCGUAGCUACACCAGCGCACGCCUAGCGCAUGCCCGUGCACACCAAUGCACGCCUAGCGCAUGCUCGCUCACACCAGCGCACGCCCAGUGCAUGCCCGCGCACACCCCCGCUCACCCGAGCACCCUUCUAAUACCACAAAGGUUUUUUACCCAUGUGGUGGUGGGGAGUGUGUACUUGUCGUGGCGUGGAAUGGGAAGGCUGAGAAUGCUAGGCGGGAAUUCUAUGGUUGUCACUACUACAUAGGUUAUACAAAACCUUAGUUAUUGUUGUAGUUUGUUAACGUUUCAUGUAACACAAUUUUUUUGUUAUUGUUGUAUUUUGACGGUGAUAGAAGAUGUAAUUUCUUUUGUUGGAAUGAUGAGAUACGGUGUUGUCCAUGUGGAAAUGGGGUUUGCGGGAUCUUCACAUCUAAAUGGCCCGGUAUACAAGGGAGACGAUUUUGGGUUUGCACAAAGCCCCAAGAUGCAGAUGGGUGUAAGUUCUUUGCAUGGAUACCAAGGAAACCACAAGUCCAAUAGAGUGUAACCAUCAAAGGAGAUGUGGCAAGACCUUCUAAAGACCCACUAGAUGAGGUUGAAGCAGUUGUCCGGUCAAAGAAGGAUAAAUUCGAUAAAAUGUCUGAAUUUUGUGAUAAGUUGUUGGGUCGUAUAAAAAAUCUGAGAAUCAAAAAUGUAUAAUCUGAUUUUGGCC